UAACAACGAGAGCGGAAGAGGUAGCCGCCGCACCUUCGGGUCUGAAAGAGAUGCAGGAUUGUCACCCUGCCGUUGUUU
Streptococcus thermophilus LMG 18311 is the source of this 78-nucleotide small RNA. It matches the Rfam family "skipping-rope RNA". Rfam says of the family: Firmicutes, Fusobacteria, AlphaProteobacteria, Spirochaetes. Downstream gene The record is from Rfam. NCBI's taxonomy places the organism in Bacteria, Bacillati, Bacillota, Bacilli, Lactobacillales, Streptococcaceae.